RNAcentral lists this long non-coding RNA (1441 nucleotides) under Prunus persica (peach). Its description in RNAcentral is "long non-coding RNA (PPER_LNC001788)". Lineage: Eukaryota; Viridiplantae; Streptophyta; Magnoliopsida; Rosales; Rosaceae. The record is from RNAcentral.
UAUCCCCAGUCAUCUUAAUAAGGUGUGUUCCCACAUUCAAUGAUUUAGCCUAACAUAAUUCUUGAAAUCCUUAAGAGUCUACCUUACUAUAUGAGUUUUGGAUUGUUGGCUAAUUUAUUUUGUUGGGGGAGUUUCUUUGAGAUGCAUGUGUUUUGGCAACAUUCUUGCUGGUUGUUUUUAUCAUUUUCAUACACCAAUGUUGCCUUCCUAAGCCUUAUCUCGAUUGAUUUGCUCUCUUUUGUUCUUGCUGUGUCUAUGAGGUUGUUGGUCUUUUGAUGCCACCUCAAAUUUAGACAUGCGUGACUAGUGCAUUUCAUAGUCCACUCUCUUCUCCUUGUGCUUGUUGGAAGCUAUGUUGUGUUUUUUGGACAACCUAGAGACUUAUUUCUUGUAUUCUUUCUCACAUGUCCUCAAUUUUGAGCAAAAAUUUAGGGUUCAUCUUGCAUGGUGCUUUCUUCAAAUUUGACAUUGAUUGAUGCCUUAAAUUUUGAUAUUUUGGUGCUUUGUCUUGAUUUUGCACUAUGGUGUGUAAAGAAAAAUUCAUUGGUUGUCCCUUGUUUUGAUAAAUAUGUUGCUUAAACUCUGUCUUUUUAGGGGAGUUUCUUUAUGUGUAAUGUGUACACAUUGAGCCACUUGAUUUUAAUUGCUUUAGGUAUGAUUCCUUGCAACUUGUGCUCCAUUUCUUAUUCUUUUUAGCCUGAUGCAUUUUUGUGUUUGUUGGCUAUUUAUGGAAAGUUUGCUGAAUCAGUACGUCAAAGGUUAAUUCUUUUAUGCUAUAUGAUACUCAGGGGGAGUAUGUUUUCCAAGGGGGCGUUUUGCUUUAGGGGGAGUUUCUAUUUGUGUAGUGGUUUUAAUCUUGUACCCUCUGUAGGUUGAUAGGGGGGAGUUGUCUUGUAUUGUUUUGAACAAAUGUUGUUUGUGCUUUGUAAUCAAACUGUGUCAUGUGCAUAUUGUUCAAAUCUGAUUAUGUGACUUGUGUUUAAUUAACUUGAUUACUGUUUCUCUAUAUUUGCCUUUUUGCUCUUUCCUUAUCAACAAGGGAGAGAACACUCUCAACCCCAUAUUGCACAUAUUCACAUAUUGCAUAUUGCUUCAAAUUUCUGUGAUAUAAUAUGCUUGUCUUGUGCCUGGGAGUUUGGUCGUUGUUUUGCAGGUACUUCAUUUAAUCAUCUCCCUAGGUUCGAUUUUGGGUUGAGUGUAUUUAGAGAGUGUGUUGUCAAGGAAAGCCAAAAAGGGGGAGAUUGUUAAUGUAUGCAUUUUGAGUUAUUUCUUUUGGCUUCCCUUGACAAUUUUGUAAUAGGAUUUUUAUUGUUUUUAUCAAGCUCAAGCUUAGUUUAAGAAUAGCUUCUCUAGGUGUUCUUAAACUAACAUCUAUCCUAUGGAGGUUCAAGCAAUUUGACAAAGGUAAGUAUGCAUUGCAUAUCAUGGCAUUAAAACUGUU